This 497-nucleotide ribosomal RNA is filed under the name uncultured bacterium. RNAcentral describes it as "partial 16S ribosomal RNA". It matches the Rfam family "Bacterial small subunit ribosomal RNA", at positions 28 to 507 of the family's 1533-position model. The record is from RNAcentral.
GAUGAACGCUGGCGGCGUGCCUAAUACAUGCAAGUCGAGCGAACGGACGAGAAGCUUGCUUCUCUGAUGUUAGCGGCGGACGGGUGAGUAACACGUGGAUAACCUACCUAUAAGACUGGGAUAACUUCGGGAAACCGGAGCUAAUACCGGAUAAUAUUUUGAACCGCAUGGUUCAAAAGUAAAAGACGGUCUUGCUGUCACUUAUAGAUGGAUCCGCGCUGCAUUAGCUAGUUGGUAAGGUAACGGCUUACCAAGGCAACGAUGCAUAGCCGACCUGAGAGGAUGAUCGGCCACACUGGAACUGAGACACGGUCCAGACUCCUACGGGAGGCAGCAGUAGGGAAUAUUCCGCAAUGGGCGAAAGCCUGACGGAGCAACGCCGCGUGAGUGAUGAAGGUCUUCGGAUCGUAAAACUCUGUUAUUAGGGAAGAACAUAUGUGUAAGUAACUGUGCACAUCUUGACGGUACCUAAUCAGAUAGCCACGGCUAACUACGUG